UAAAAAGGUACUCAAGGGCACUGUAGUGGAUGCCUAGACGUAUAUUACCGAUGAAGGACGUGGAAGACUGCGAUAAGCUUCGGGUAGCUGUCAACAAGCUAUAAUCCGGAGAUCUCCGAAUAGGGAAACCUAGCAUGAGUAAUGUCAUGUUGCCCCUAACUGAAUACAUAGGUUAGUGGAGCGGGAACCAACUGAACUGAAACAUCUUAGUAGGUUGAGGAAGAGAAAGUAAAUAACGAUUCUCGGAGUAGUGGCGAGCGAAACGGGAUGAGCCCAAACCUUACAAGUUUUUGUCUGUUUACAGAUAAAUACGGCUGAUAGGCCAAUGCUUAUAAGGGGUUGUGACAUCACACAAGACCAAGUCAGAGGAUUUAACCUUGGUUGAAUAAUCUGACUUGUGACCGAGCACUAUCAUGACUCGGGUAAGGUAAAAAAUCAGCGUAGUUAGCAGAACAAGCUGGAAGGCUUGGCCAAAGGACGUGAUAGCCGCGUAUGCGAAAACGACGCUGACCUUAUAUGUGUGGUUUAUCGAGUAGGGCGGGGCACGAGAAACCCUGUCUGAAUCCGGGAGGACCACCUCCCAAGGCUAAACAUAAUAUACGAUCGAUAGUGAACUAGUACAGCGAUGGAAAGGUGAAAAGAACCCCGGGAGGGGAGUGAAAUAGAUCCUGAAACUCAGUGCCUACAAGGAGUCGGAGCCGGCUUGUCCGGUGACGGCGUGCUUUUUGUAGAACGAUCCAGCGAGUUACUUUUUGUAGCAAGGUUAAGCCAUUUGGCGGAGCCACAGUGAAAGCGAGCCUGAAUAGGGCGAUUUAGUUACAAGGAGUAGACCCGAAACCGGGUGACCUAACCAUGAGCAGGCUGAAGCUACCGUAACAGGUAGUGGAGGGCCGAACCGUAGUCCGCAGCAAAGGGCCCGGAUGACUUGUGGUUAGAGGUGAAAUGCCAAUCGAACUCGGAGAUAGCUGGUUCUCCUCGAAACAGUUUUAGGACUGGCGUUGCGUAGUAGCACGUGGGGGUAGAGCUCUGUAAAGGACUGAGGGGAGCAAUCCUACUCACCCUUAACAAACUACGAAUACCAUGUGUGUAAGCGCGGCAGUUAGAACGGCGGAGCUAAGUUCGUCGCUCAAAAGGGAAACAGCCCAGACCAUCAGCUAAGGUCCCUAAAUUUACGUUAAGUGGGAAACAAGGUGAGAUUUCUUAAACAGCUAGGAUGUUGGCUUAGAAGCAGCCAUUCAUUUAAAGAGUGCGUAACAGCUCACUAGUCAAGAGAUCUUGCGUGGAAAAUGUAACGGGGCUAAACGUAAUACCGAAGCUAUGGAUUUGUAGCAAUACAAGUGGUAGAGGAGCGUUCCUAUCUGCGAUGAAGCAGUGCUGUGAGGCAUUGUGGAGCGUUAGGAAGUGAGAAUGCUGGAAUGAGUAACCAUAAGACAGGUGAGAAUCCUGUCGGCCGUAAGAGCAAGGUUUCCUGAGCCAUGGUAAUCAUCUCAGGGUUAGUCGGGCCUAAGCCGAGGCGCAUAGCGUAGGCGAUGGACAUCAGGUUAAUAUUCCUGAACCGGCGUAGUUUGCACACUGUUCACGGUGAGAUAUUCGAAGCGGAUUCAUGGUAUGUAUCCGUCCAACCUAGGGGGAACCCGAUGGGAGUGAAAGUUAUCCUUUGGAUGACAAUUUUGGAAAAGGCGCUGGCUAGAAAAGCAGAUGUGCGCGUGACUAUGUCCGCCCGUACCGCAAACCAACACAGGUGCUCGAGUCGAGUAGACUCAGGCUUACGAGAGAACCUUCGCUAAGGAACUCGGCAAUACAGCGACCGUAACUUCGGGAUAAGGUCUGCCCCCACUUCGGUGGAUAUGUGCCGCGUACACCUCACGCGAAAGUAUUUGAAAAACAAGGUUAAAUCGUGUAAGUGUAAUGACUUACACAUGAGUACGCGCUGUAUCUUUGGAUAUAAGCGUCGAAAAAUCCUUUUUUAUGAACCAAUAUUUUUUACUGAGAUAGAGCAAUAAUGAUUUUUAAAGAUCGACUUGUUCUUUUGUACGCGAACUUCACGCAUCUAACGAUGUGGGGGCCGCAGCAAAAGAGCCCACGGAACUGUUUAUCAAAAACACAGGUCUCUGCUAACACGAAAGUGGAUGUAUAGGGGCUGACUCCUGCCCAGUGCUGGAAGGUUAAGGGGAGCGCUUUACGGUGCGAACUGAAGCCCCAGUGAACGGCGGCGGUAACUAUAACCGUCCUAAGGUAGCGAAAUUCCUUGUCAGGUAAGUUCUGACCCGCACGAAUGGAGUAAUCAUGUGGGCACUGUCUCAGCGAAGGACUCGGUGAAAGUGCAUUGGCGGUAAAGAUGCCGUCUGUCCAUACCAGGACGAGAAGACCCCAUGGAGCUUUACUACAGUUUUACAUUGAUCCGGGUUACACCAUGUGUAGCAUAGUUGGGAGGCUUUGAAGCAGAUACGCCAGUAUUUGUGGAGCCGCAACGUGAAAUACCAACCUUGUUGUGAUCUUGAUCUCACGUUGGCCGUUAUCCGGUCAGCGGACCGUGUAUGAUGGGUAGUUUAACUGGGGCGGUUGCCUCCUAAAGAGUAGCGGAGGCGUUCAAAGGUUGGCUAACUUCGGAUGGAAAUCGAAGUGAUAGUGUAUGCGCACAAGCCAGCUUGACUGUGAGGAGUACAUUCCAAUCAGAGACGAAAGUCGGAGCAAGUGACCCGCUGUAUAGAACUUUGUUCAUUGAAUGUGGGAUCGACAGCGCACACGGAUAAAAGUUACCCUGGGGAUAACAGGCUUAUAGCGCCCAAUAGUUCACAUAGACGGCGCUGUUUGGCACCUCGAUGUCGGCUCAUCACAUCCUGGAGGGGGAGCACCUUCCAAGGGUUCGGCUGUUCGCCGAUUAAAGUGGUACGCGAGCUGGGUUCAGAACGUCGUGAGACAGUUCGGUUUAUAUCCGGUAUGGACGUCAGGAAAUUUGAGAGGAUCUACCCCUAGUACGAGAGGACCGGGGCGGACGCACCUCUGGUGUACGGAUUGUGGCCACCUGCUGCAUUGUCCGGUAGCUACGUGCGGACUAGAUAAGCGCUGAAAGCAUAUUAAGCGCGAAACUAACCUCAAGAUUAGAUUUCCCUAUGAGGACACAGAGAGACUAUCUGUUUGAUAGGUGCAAGGUGGAAGUAUGGCAACAUAUGGAGCCGAAGCAUACUAAUAGUCCCAUUGCCUUUUUAUG
This 3211-nucleotide ribosomal RNA is filed under the name Candidatus Saccharimonadota bacterium. RNAcentral's name for it is "Candidatus Saccharibacteria bacterium 23S ribosomal RNA". It matches the Rfam family "Bacterial large subunit ribosomal RNA". Lineage: Bacteria; Candidatus Saccharimonadota. The record is from RNAcentral.